AACUUAAAGGAAUUGGCGGGGGAGCACUACAACGGGUGGAGCCUGCGGUUUAAUUGGAUUCAACGCCGGAAACCUCACCGGGACCGACAGCGAUAUGAAGGCCAGGCUGAAGACCUUGCCGGAUUAGCUGAGAGGUGGUGCAUGGCCGUCGUCAGUUCGUACUGUGAAGCAUCCUGUUAAGUCAGGCAACGAGCGAGACCCACGCCCACAGUUGCCAGCGUACUCUCUGGAGUGACGGGUACACUGUGGGGACCGCCGCUGCUAAAGCGGAGGAAGGAAUGGGCAACGGUAGGUCAGUAUGCCCCGAAUAUCCCGGGCUACACGCGGGCUACAAUGGUUGGUACAAUGGGUAUAUACCCCGAAAGGGGAUGGAAAUCUCCUAAAGCCAAUAUGUAGUUCGG
RNAcentral lists this ribosomal RNA (401 nucleotides) under uncultured archaeon. Its description in RNAcentral is "bacterial SSU rRNA". It matches the Rfam family "Archaeal small subunit ribosomal RNA", at positions 853 to 1252 of the family's 1478-position model. The record is from RNAcentral.